UGAUGCCUGGCAGUUCCCUACUCUCGCAUGGGGAGACCCCACACUACCAUCGGCGCUACGGCGUUUCACUUCUGAGUUCGGCAUGGGGUCAGGUGGGACCACCGCGCUANNNNNNNNNNNNNNNNNNNNAGGUGGGACCACCGCGCUACUGCCGCCAGGCAAAUUCUGUUAUCAGACCGUUUUUACGUUCUGAUGUAAUCUGAAUCAGUGCUGAAAAUCGUCUCUCAUCCNNNNNNNNNNNNNNNNNNNNGAAUCAGUGCUGAAAAUCGUCUCUCAUCCGCCAAAACAUCUUCGGCGUUGUAAGGUUAAGCCUCACGGUUCAUUAGUACCGGUUAGCUCAACGCAUCGCUGCGCUUACACACCCGGCCUAUCAACGUCGUCGUCUUCAACGUUCCUUCAGGAGACCUAAAGUCUCAGGGAGAACUCAUCUCGGGGCAAGUUUCGUGCUUAGAUGCUUUCAGCACUUAUCUCUUCCGCAUUUAGCUACCGGGCAGUGCCAUUGGCAUGACAACCCGAACACCAGUGAUGCGUCCACUCCGGUCCUCUCGUACUAGGAGCAGCCCCCCUCAGUUCUCCAGCGCCCACGGCAGAUAGGGACCGAACUGUCUCACGACGUUCUAAACCCAGCUCGCGUACCACUUUAAAUGGCGAACAGCCAUACCCUUGGGACCUACUUCAGCCCCAGGAUGUGAUGAGCCGACAUCGAGGUGCCAAACACCGCCGUCGAUAUGAACUCUUGGGCGGUAUCAGCCUGUUAUCCCCGGAGUACCUUUUAUCCGUUGAGCGAUGGCCCUUCCAUUCAGAACCACCGGAUCACUAUGACCUGCUUUCGCACCUGCUCGCGCCGUCACGCUCGCAGUCAAGCUGGCUUAUGCCAUUGCACUAACCUCCUGAUGUCCGACCAGGAUUAGCCAACCUUCGUGCUCCUCCGUUACUCUUUAGGAGGAGACCGCCCCAGUCAAACUACCCACCAGACACUGUCCGCAACCCGGGUAACGGGUCCACGUUAGAACAUCAAACAUUAAAGGGUGGUAUUUCAAGGUCGGCUCCAUGCAGACUGGCGUCCACACUUCAAAGCCUCCCACCUAUCCUACACAUCAAGGCUCAAUGUUCAGUGUCAAGCUAUAGUAAAGGUUCACGGGGUCUUUCCGUCUUGCCGCGGGUACACUGCAUCUUCACAGCGAGUUCAAUUUCACUGAGUCUCGGGUGGAGACAGCCUGGCCAUCAUUACGCCAUUCGUGCAGGUCGGAACUUACCCGACAAGGAAUUUCGCUACCUUAGGACCGUUAUAGUUACGGCCGCCGUUUACCGGGGCUUCGAUCAGGAGCUUCGCUUGCGCUGACCCCAUCAAUUAACCUUCCGGCACCGGGCAGGCGUCACACCGUAUACGUCCACUUUCGUGUUUGCACAGUGCUGUGUUUUUAAUAAACAGUUGCAGCCAGCUGGUAUCUUCGACUGACUUCAGCUCCAUGAGUAAAUCACUUCACCUACGUGUCAGCGUGCCUUCUCCCGAAGUUACGGCACCAUUUUGCCUAGUUCCUUCACCCGAGUUCUCUCAAGCGCCUUGGUAUUCUCUACCUGACCACCUGUGUCGGUUUGGGGUACGAUUUGAUGUUACCUGAUGCUUAGAGGCUUUUCCUGGAAGCAGGGCAUUUGUUGCUUCAGCACCGUAGUGCCUCGUCGUCACGCCUCAGUGUUAAAGUGAACCGGAUUUACCUGGAACACACACCUACACGCUUAAACCGGGACAACCGUCGCCCGGCCAACAUAG
Molecule: ribosomal RNA, 1771 nt
Filed under: Salmonella enterica subsp. enterica serovar Paratyphi A
Lineage: Bacteria; Pseudomonadati; Pseudomonadota; Gammaproteobacteria; Enterobacterales; Enterobacteriaceae
Description: 23S ribosomal RNA
Source: RNAcentral